UGAGGAAUAUUGGUCAAUGGGCGAGAGCCUGAACCAGCCAAGUAGCGUGCAGGAUGACGGCCCUAUGGGUUGUAAACUGCUUUUAUGUGGGGAUAAAGUGCGUGACGUGUCAUGCAUUGCAGGUACCACAUGAAUAAGGACCGGCUAAUUCCGUGCCAGCAGCCGCGGUAAUACGGAAGGUCCGGGCGUUAUCCGGAUUUAUUGGGUUUAAAGGGAGCGUAGGCUGUCUAUUAAGCGUGUUGUGAAAUAUACCGGCUCAACCGGUGGCUUGCAGCGCGAACUGGUAGACUUGAGUAUGCAGGAAGUAGGCGGAAUUCAUGGUGUAGCGGUGAAAUGCUUAGAUAUCAUGACGAACUCCGAUUGCGCAGGCAGCUUACUGUAGCAUAACUGACGCUGAUGCUCGAAAGUGCGGGUAUCAAACAGG
RNAcentral lists this ribosomal RNA (424 nucleotides) under Fusobacteriota bacterium. RNAcentral's name for it is "Fusobacteria bacterium partial 16S ribosomal RNA". It matches the Rfam family "Bacterial small subunit ribosomal RNA", at positions 355 to 776 of the family's 1533-position model. Lineage: Bacteria; Fusobacteriati; Fusobacteriota. The record is from RNAcentral.